UCUUAUUGAGAGAGGUGGAGGGACUGGCCCUACGAAACCUAGCAACCUACUUUAAGGUGUGGUGCUUAAUCCUACAGAGAAAUUUGGAAAAUGAGA
RNAcentral lists this non-coding RNA (96 nucleotides) under uncultured Clostridium sp. RNAcentral describes it as "SAM riboswitch (S box leader)". It matches the Rfam family "SAM riboswitch aptamer (S box leader)". Rfam says of the family: The SAM riboswitch is found upstream of a number of genes which code for proteins involved in methionine or cysteine biosynthesis in Gram-positive bacteria. The SAM riboswitch acts at the level of transcription termination control. The predicted structure consists of a complex stem-loop region followed by a single stem loop terminator region. The record is from RNAcentral. Lineage: Bacteria; Bacillati; Bacillota; Clostridia; Eubacteriales; Clostridiaceae.